AUUGAACGCUGGCGGCAUGCUUUACACAUGCAAGUCGAACGGCAGCGCGGGCUUCGGCCUGGCGGCGAGUGGCGAACGGGUGUGUAAUGCAUCGGAACGUGCCCAGCUGUGGGGGAUAGCCCGGCGAAAGCCGGAUUACUACCGCAUACGACCUGAGGGUGAAAGCGGGGGACCGAAAGGCCUCGCGCCAUUGUGGCGGCCGAUGUCGGAUUAGCUAGUUGGUGGGGUAAAGGCUUACCAAGGCGACGAUCCGUAGCUGGUCUGAGAGGACGACCAGCCACACUGGGACUGAGACACGGCCCAGACUCCUACGGGAGGCAGCAGUGGGGAAUUUUGGACAAUGGGGGCAACCCUGAUCCAGCCAUGCCGCGUGCGGGAAGAAGGCCUUCGGGUUGUAAACCGCUUUUGUUCGGGAAGAAAUCCUCUGGGCUAAUACCCCGGGGGGAUGACGGUACCGGAAGAAUAAGCACCGGCUAACUACGUG
RNAcentral lists this ribosomal RNA (484 nucleotides) under uncultured bacterium. Its description in RNAcentral is "partial 16S ribosomal RNA". It matches the Rfam family "Bacterial small subunit ribosomal RNA", at positions 28 to 507 of the family's 1533-position model. The record is from RNAcentral.